Molecule: long non-coding RNA, 221 nt
Filed under: Elaeis guineensis (African oil palm)
Lineage: Eukaryota; Viridiplantae; Streptophyta; Magnoliopsida; Arecales; Arecaceae
Description: long non-coding RNA (EGUI_LNC036542)
Source: RNAcentral
AGCCACUCUAGAUCUCAUCCAGAUGGCCACCCCAUUCAAAAUCCCAAGCCCACAACCAUGUGCGCACACACGCCACCAAUGAGGGGUUUGGCCUCCAAGCUUUCACACACAAGGAGAGAAUGUGAGCCCCUUCUCAUCCUUAUCCACAAGGGGUAGGGCAGCCUCACAAAUUGGAUCUUAUCCAAAACAAGGUCGUGCUAAGGAUCUCAUCCACACACCCA